RNAcentral lists this ribosomal RNA (433 nucleotides) under uncultured bacterium. RNAcentral describes it as "partial 16S ribosomal RNA". It matches the Rfam family "Bacterial small subunit ribosomal RNA", at positions 29 to 507 of the family's 1533-position model. The record is from RNAcentral.
AACGAACGCUGGCGGCAUGCCUAACACAUGCAAGUCGAACGAGACCUUCGGGGCUCGGGACACGCGUGAGCAUAACGCGUGGAAACCUGCCCUUAGUUGGGGAAACACCGCCCAAAAGGGGCUCUAAUCCCAUAAAAUGUAAUGGGGCAAAAGUUUUAUCGCCUUGAUCUGGGCCCGCGUUGUAUUAGCUAGUUGGUAGGGUAGAAGCCUACCAACGCGACGAACUAUAGCUGGUCUGAGAGGAUGAUCAGCCACACUGGGACUGAGACACGGCCCAGACUCCUACGGGAGGCAGCAGUGGGGAAUAUUGGACAAUGGGCGAAAGCCUGAUCCAGCAAUGCCGCGUGAGUGAUGAAGGCCUUAGGGUUGUAAAGCUCUUUUACCCGGGAUGAUAAUGACAGUACCGGGAGAAUAAGCUCCGGCUAACUCCGUG